RNAcentral lists this non-coding RNA (25 nucleotides) under Mus musculus (house mouse). Lineage: Eukaryota; Metazoa; Chordata; Mammalia; Rodentia; Muridae. The record is from RNAcentral.
UGGGAUGGCAUGGAUGUUCACGCAG